RNAcentral lists this ribosomal RNA (428 nucleotides) under uncultured Clostridium sp. Its description in RNAcentral is "bacterial SSU rRNA". It matches the Rfam family "Bacterial small subunit ribosomal RNA", at positions 355 to 776 of the family's 1533-position model. The record is from RNAcentral. Lineage: Bacteria; Bacillati; Bacillota; Clostridia; Eubacteriales; Clostridiaceae. RNAcentral also lists the same sequence under 2 other names.
UAGGGAAUUUUCGGCAAUGGGGGAAACCCUGACCGAGCAACGCCGCGUGAAGGAAGAAGGUUUUCGGAUUGUAAACUUCUGUUAUAAAGGAAGAACGGCGGCUACAGGAAAUGGUAGCCGAGUGACGGUACUUUAUUAGAAAGCCACGGCUAACUACGUGCCAGCAGCCGCGGUAAUACGUAGGUGGCAAGCGUUAUCCGGAAUUAUUGGGCGUAAAGAGGGAGCAGGCGGCAGCAAGGGUCUGUGGUGAAAGCCUGAAGCUUAACUUCAGUAAGCCAUAGAAACCAGGCAGCUAGAGUGCAGGAGAGGAUCGUGGAAUUCCAUGUGUAGCGGUGAAAUGCGUAGAUAUAUGGAGGAACACCAGUGGCGAAGGCGACGAUCUGGCCUGCAACUGACGCUCAGUCCCGAAAGCGUGGGGAGCAAAUAGG